UUUUCCCCGAGGUCUGGAGAAAGCUGAAAUCAAAUGGGAGGAACUACGAGAUUACCCCAAGGACGCCUUCGGC
RNAcentral lists this transfer RNA (73 nucleotides) under Helianthus annuus subsp. texanus. RNAcentral's name for it is "tRNA-Ala". The record is from RNAcentral. Lineage: Eukaryota; Viridiplantae; Streptophyta; Magnoliopsida; Asterales; Asteraceae.